RNAcentral lists this non-coding RNA (101 nucleotides) under Rhodanobacter spathiphylli. Its description in RNAcentral is "Rhodanobacter sp. Fluoride sequence". It matches the Rfam family "Fluoride riboswitch aptamer (crcB RNA motif)". Lineage: Bacteria; Pseudomonadati; Pseudomonadota; Gammaproteobacteria; Lysobacterales; Rhodanobacteraceae. The record is from RNAcentral.
GGCCGCGUGGGAGAUGGCAUGCCUCCCGUUCCGGCGCGACUGUCGCGGGACAAACCACCUCCCGUGCGACCCACGUCGAGGUUGAUGAUGCCUGCAUCGCC